UCCCAGGCCGUCAUUGAAAAUAAGAAUUUGUUCUUAACUGACUUGCCUAGUUAAAUAAAGGUUAAAAAAAAAAUGUUUUAAAAAAUGUUUAAAUUAGCGGAGACCACAAUUAUGGUAAACACUGCAUUUGUUGACUCAAUCAGGAAGUGACAUGUAAAGGUAGCGUUGUCCAAACUGAAUCCCAGCCUUAGACUGAUGUAGCUAGUAGAGAGGUAGUGUUGUCCAAACUGAAUCCCAGCCUUAGACUGAUGUAGCUAGUAGAGAGGUAGCGUUGUCCAAACUGAAUCCCAGCCUUAGACUGAUGUAGCUAGUAGAGAGGUAGCGUUGUCCAAACUGAAUCCCAGCCUUAGACUGAUGUAGCUAGUAGAGAGGUAGGGAGCAAGGGUCUAGGGAACAUUCUGAUGUAGCUAGUAGAGAGGUAGGGAGCAAGGGUCUAGGGAACAUUCUGAUGUAUCUAGUAGAGAGGUAGGGAGCAAGGGUCUAGGGAACAUUCUGAUGUAUCUAGUAGAGAGGUAGGGAGCAAGGGUCUAGGGAACAUUCUGAUGUAUCUAGUAGAGAGGUAGGGAACAAGGGUCUAGGGAACAUUCUGAUGUAUCUAGUAGAGAGGUAGGGAACAAGGGUCUAGGGAACAUUCUGAUGUAUCUAGUAGAGAGGUAG
This is a long non-coding RNA of Oncorhynchus keta (chum salmon), 657 nucleotides long. RefSeq lists it as uncharacterized. NCBI's taxonomy places the organism in Eukaryota, Metazoa, Chordata, Actinopteri, Salmoniformes, Salmonidae. The record is from RefSeq and is a predicted model, not a curated record. The transcript has 5 exons.